AGAGUUUGAUCCUGGCUCAGGACGAACGCUGGCGGCGUGCUUAAUACAUGCAAGUCGUGCGGACUUCUCAGUUGAGGAGGCUUCGGCCAACAAGACUGUGAAGUUAGCGGCGAACGGGUGAGUAACGCGUGGGUAUCUGCCCUUUAUCCCGGGAUAACAGUUCGAAAGGGCUGCUAAUACCGGAUGACCCCGCAAGGGGAAAGGCUUCGGCCGAUAGAGGAUGAGCCCGCGUCCCAUUAGCUAGUUGGUAGGGUAAUGGCCUACCAAGGCGACGAUGGGUAGCCGGCCUGAGAGGGUGAUCGGCCACACUGGGACUGAGACACGGCCCAGACUCCUACGGGAGGCAGCAGUAGGGAAUCUUCCGCAAUGGACGAAAGUCUGACGGAGCAACGCCGCGUGAGUGAUGAAGGCCUUCGGGUCGUAAAGCUCUGUCCUUCGGGAUGAUAAUGACAGUACCGGAGGAGGAAGUCCCGGCUAACUACGUGCCAGCCGCCGCGGUAAUUC
RNAcentral lists this ribosomal RNA (504 nucleotides) under uncultured soil bacterium. Its description in RNAcentral is "bacterial SSU rRNA". It matches the Rfam family "Bacterial small subunit ribosomal RNA", at positions 8 to 526 of the family's 1533-position model. The record is from RNAcentral.